Molecule: long non-coding RNA, 508 nt
Organism: Rhipicephalus microplus (southern cattle tick)
Lineage: Eukaryota; Metazoa; Arthropoda; Arachnida; Ixodida; Ixodidae
Source: RefSeq, a predicted model, not a curated record
UCUGCGCCCCGUAUCAACGGUUCGCCUAUCCUAGUCAACAUGAACGUACUGAUGAUUGUGUGCGUGUUAGUCCAUUUCAUCGGCCUAGCAUUGGCUGGAGUCAUUCAUGACUUCGGCUACGACGACCACGGCUACUAUGGCUACAGUGACCACGACCACUACGGAUAUCAUAAGGAGGUGCCCGGACCUUCUUUCCUCGUCAAAACUGUUCAUCACGUGAGCAAGCUACAUCAUGGAGGGCACUUGCACGGAGAUGCUUGGUGAUAUUUCGUGCUUACAUGGAAAGCCAUUGCCGGGUUACGACUUUCCGCAAACUCUUAGCUCAACACCGGAAGACAAGCCAACUGACAGAGCGAGCUCAUUGUGGUGAAAGGGCACACAUCAAUCAUCAUCAGUUAUCGAUAGUGGUCGGUGCAAUCACGCAGCUCAACAAGUGGGGCGCAAUAAUAAUAGUACACUAAAAAAAUGGCGCAUGUACGUCGUGUGCAAUAAACUUCGCUUCUCAUAG